This 1916-nucleotide unclassified non-coding RNA is filed under the name Anthonomus grandis grandis. Its description in RNAcentral is "protein NDRG3". The record is from RNAcentral. Lineage: Eukaryota; Metazoa; Arthropoda; Insecta; Coleoptera; Curculionidae.
CAUCAAGGUUACAUGUAAACAACGUUCAUAUAAGCCAUUUUUAAAAUAACAAAACUGACAAUAAAUGUCUCGAAAAGUGUAAUUUUAAUUUAUACAGGGGUAGAUUUGGCCGGGCCAAUAUAACUAUUACCACCCCUAUUGCAUCGCUGGUCAUGUGACCGAUCUCCAGCCAAUCGGAUUGCUUCGUUCGUAAAAUCCACUGACAGGCGCCCCUAUAGUUACAUACAUACAUCAAACGUCACUUGUAUCCCAGUGGUGAAAAUCUAUACAGUGUAAAGGGUCUGUGAAUUGUCUGUUUGUAUUUUUAGGGAUUUUUUUUUGAAAAAAUCCCUCUUGUAAGCACCAAAUAGGUCCACAAGCAGCGGAUGUCUACUGGAACCCAGACGUCCAGUGGCGGCGGCUACGCGUCCCUCGAACCGCAGCGCGGGGCGGCGGACAACAUUUACCGCCCCACGACGGUAUCGGGAGAAGCGACGACGCAAGCCACUGGACUCUUUGAUGGGGUGAAGAGAGCGCUGGGACUUGGAGGCAGAGAAGAUAGGAACCAGGUGGGUGGAAGGGUAACGGCUGGAUCUUCUGAAACAAUAAGGACUCAAGUCGUAAAUCCGACAGCGAACAAGAAAAUGCCUAGUUCCGGUAUAGCCGAAGAAGCCGCUCUACUUGGCACUAUGCCUUCCGACUCAAUGGACGACAUAGAACUGAAGAACAUUAAGCUUCAGUUCCCACAUACUAGGUCUAUGUCAAGAGAAGAUUCUAAUGCUCAGGAGGAGAUAGUGGAAACUGAUAGAGGAAAUAUUGUUGUAGCAGUGCAAGGGAAUAGGAAUAAGCCUGCUAUUUUGACUUACCAUGAUCUUGGGUUAAAUUAUGUUUCAAACUUUCAAGCAUUUUUCAACUAUAUUGACAUGAGAGCUCUGAUGGAAAAUUUCUGCGUUUAUCAUGUAAAUGCACCUGGACAGCAGGAAGGAGCUCCGUCUUUACCUGAAGACUAUAUUUACCCAACAAUGGAUGAAUUGGCUGACCAGUUAGUUCACGUGGUCAGUCAUUUUAAUUUGAAACAGUUUAUUGGCUUUGGAGUUGGCGCUGGUGCUAAUAUUCUAUGUCGAUACGCCCUUAAUCAUCCUGAAAUGGUUUCUGCCCUUUGUUUAAUCAACUGCGUUAGCACACAACCAGGUUGGAUCGAAUGGGGAUAUCAGAAGCUGAAUGCCAGACAUCUUAAAUCGAAGGGCAUGACUCAAAGUGUAUUGGAUUAUUUGAUGUGGCACCAUUUCGGAAGGAAUACUGAAGAGCGCAACCACGACUUAGUCCAAGUUUACAAGUCGUACUUCGAAAGAAACGUAAACACCACAAACUUGGCCUUAUUUAUUGACAGCUACGUUAAAAGAACGGACCUAAACAUCCACAGAGAUCCCGAUCCAACAAGGAAAAACGCAUCUACCCUGAGAGUUCCAGUAAUUAAUAUUACUGGAGCUCAUAGUCCGCAUGCUGAUGAUACUGUGACAUUUAAUGGACGUUUGGACCCAACUAAUUCAUCUUGGAUGAAGAUUUCUGAUUGUGGUAUGGUGUUGGAAGAACAACCAGGCAAAGUUAGCGAAGCCUUUAGGCUGUUCCUACAAGGGGAAGGAUAUGCUAUUCAUGUGAGGCGAAGGUCUAGCUGUAUGAGUGUCGGUUCGUUAGUAGGGACUCCUAAGUAAAUUAUAGUAAAUAGUUAAGGUCAUACCAAACUACUAUAAGGUCAGUUACCAUUGAAAGACCUGUAAAUAAUCCACAUUGGCUCCGCUUUCGCCAGUAAAAAUGGCUAUGUUUCGGAAACAAUCAAUCGAGGAACUCUUCAAGGCCAGAAUCCAAAGUUCAGGCCAAUGUUUAGGUGGGAAUAUAAUUAAUAUCACCGAGAACCCCAUUUCUGCUGUAGUUUGUUA